Molecule: small nucleolar RNA, 106 nt
Organism: Hibiscus syriacus
Lineage: Eukaryota; Viridiplantae; Streptophyta; Magnoliopsida; Malvales; Malvaceae
Source: RefSeq, a predicted model, not a curated record
AACCCAUGCAUAGGACAUUUCCGUAACAAAUCUUUGAAUUUUUCCCAUGCUUCAUACAAGCUUUCAUCAUCCAUCUGCUUGAUUUAGAUUAAGUCAUUCUGAAGCU